Molecule: long non-coding RNA, 1514 nt
Organism: Tympanuchus pallidicinctus (lesser prairie-chicken)
Lineage: Eukaryota; Metazoa; Chordata; Aves; Galliformes; Phasianidae
Exons: 2
Source: RefSeq, a predicted model, not a curated record
GAGGCGCCGAGCGCGGCAGCCGCUGACAGCUCCGCAAUAUGGCGGCGGCGGCGCCGUUCAGAUUUUCCCCCCUAUCAGAUUUUGCGGCUCGGGACGCGGCGCGCGUGCGUGGAGGGGAACGCGCGUGCGCGCUGGGCGGCACGAAGCCGCUGCCCGGAGCCCCGGCGGAGGGGCGCGGGGUUUCGGAGGCGCGGAGGGAGCCGCGCGCCGUACUGCGGCUCCGAGGGCGGAGUGUCCCGCUGCCUCGGGGCUCGGUGGAGGGGUUGCGCUUGGCGAGGGGGGUCGGAAGGCGUCCGGGAGUAAAACUCGAAAAGCGUCGGCCCGCUUAAGUGAAGCGAUGAGGGGAGGCGGCUCGCGCGCGGGUUCGGCCGUCGGCCGGCCCUGAGGGGAAUGGCACAGGCGUGCCCGGGCGGGAGUGGGGCAGCCGCGUGCUGUGGCACGAAUGGGCGGGCGGGGAGCGCGGGGCCCUGCGGAGGGGGAGCGCCGAGCCCCUGCGUGCCGCCCUGCCCUCGUGUGCCGGGGGAGAUCAUCGCGACUAAUACGUCGCUCUCAGAUGGUUUCACGCGUCUUGGCUGUUCCGCAGUCAUCGCCGCAGGACCCGAGUGUCUCGGUUUAUUAAACGCGUUCGAUUUUCUCCCAUGGGCUGAAAUUUCCUUGGGGUAACCCCUUCUGUCUGCUGUUUGUGCUUGUUCUCAUGAGCGGCCAGGUUGAAAACGGAGUGCUUUGCUGCACGUUGAACUUCGAAGUGCCUCGUAUCCUCCACAGGUACCACAGCACACACUUCCCUCUCGGGUGGCCCGCGAGAGCCGGUGGAAAUGAAUAAGCUCUUCGGUGGAAAGCCAGACCCAAUCUCAAUCAGUACCUAAAGACAGGAGCUUUGGUUUGAACCAGAAACCGUGAUUCAGCGCAGAGCAGAUAACGUGUUUAUUUUAGCUGACUGAAUUUGGGACUGGCUUUUCCUCCAGAACAGUCCCUUGUCAGCUGGCUCAGAUUUGUGCCAUCAGCUGCAUAGAAGUGUGGUUCUGCCCAUAUCUCGCCACUAACGUGAGAAGUUAUACAUGGAUUUGUCUGCAAGUCUGGAACCCAGCCACUCUUUCUGGGAAAAUGUGUGCCUAUGACUCAGUACGCACAUACUUAUCUAUUAAUAUGUUUGCAGAAGCAGACUUCACAUCAUAAAAAAAUAUUGCAGGGUAACUCAACUAUUACUAAUUGUAUGGCCUAAAACCAAAUUGUUUAAUACUUCGUUAAUAUUUGAAUACAACGGGAUAUUUUAUUUUAAUGCACAUUGAUAAUGUUUCUUUUUUCAACAACUAUUGCCCCUUUGAGUUUCUGCUAGAAAGAAAUGGAACUGAAGGAAUUUUGUGGUCAUUAGAUGAAUCCAAUUCAGAGAUAUUUAAAAUAUUUGGAUAUAUUACAGUAAAUGGUGAGAUGUUAAGUUUGUCUGUCAUUUAAAGUUAAAUGUAUCUAAUUCCAGAAAGUACCAAAUUUCAAUAAAUGUAUAAGGAUUCCAGUAA